Molecule: ribosomal RNA, 200 nt
Filed under: uncultured bacterium
Lineage: Bacteria
Description: partial 16S ribosomal RNA
Rfam family: Bacterial small subunit ribosomal RNA
Source: RNAcentral
GCAGGCUGAAACCCGCCUGUAUGAAGUUGGAAUCGCUAGUAAUCGCGGAUCAGCAUGCCGCGGUGAAUACGUUCCCGGGCCUUGUACACACCGCCCGUCACACCAUGAGAGUUGGAAAUACCCGAAGCCUGUGAGCUAACUUAAAGAGGCAGCAGUCGAAGGUAGAGCCAAUGAUUGGGGUGAAGUCGUAACAAGGUAGC